Branchiostoma floridae (Florida lancelet) is the source of this 1429-nucleotide long non-coding RNA. RefSeq lists it as uncharacterized. Lineage: Eukaryota; Metazoa; Chordata; Leptocardii; Amphioxiformes; Branchiostomatidae. The transcript is spliced from 6 exons. The record is from RefSeq and is a predicted model, not a curated record.
UUAACGUUUGUCUCGUUUUUUUUCUCCCGAGGAUCAUCGCACCGUAAGAAGAAAUGUCUGGACGCGGAAAGGGAGGCGAGGACUGGCGAAGGAAGGUGCCGAACGUGAGCGAACGGGCUUCGCAGUCUUCUAUGACGAGAAGUGCCUGGGCUUGGUAAGCGAGGAAAGGCACCGGGGAAUGGAGGUUUCAAAGUGUCACCGUUACUGCAAGUGUUUCGUGACAACAUCCGGUGCAUCACCAAGCCAGGGCACGAGUCUUUCCCGAUAUAGACAAGCAAUGUCUGGACGGUACCGUCACCGAAGGCGCUUCACAACAUCCGGGGAGACGGUGGUCCUGGCGGAAGGCGUCUUACUCUUAGUGUCUCCCCUCAUAGCUGGACUUCAGCAGCUUCUUGAGAUGACAUUCCAUAACUAGCCAUGGAUGUACGUAUGGAAGUCGGCUCUACAAACCAGACAUUUGAGAAGAAAUAUCUGGACGCCAUAAGGGAGGAGAGGAUCUAAAGCGUCACCGUCACUGACAAUAUCGUGCUUCGUGACAACACCAAGUGAAUCACCAAGGAGGACUGGUUGAACAGUUUAGCUGUGAGUCAGAUGAUACGUGCGCACGUUCCGGCCCAGCCCUGCUUCUGCACCUGUACUGGAGGGAUGAAGCAGACCAUGAGACUGUUGACAGUCACAAUAAGUUGGGAAGGAGACAUCUCAGCAUCUUCCAGGACCGCAUUGAUUGAGGCUUCCUGAUCAACUACAGCUGCAAUGUUCAUGGUGGGACUUAUCCUGGUGAGAGAUUGUCCGACGCCAUCUCAACGGUGACGUCCAGCCAGUAGGCGUUACGACAUUUUGUAAAUAGAUGCUCCUUUUGCCCUCAGGGCUAAAGCCAGUUUCUGUGGCGUACAAGCUUGGUGUGUGACUGGUUUUGUUUCUGUGACUGUGUCGAUGGCCGGAAUUUUUUUCGGUCAGUUACUGUUAAUUUUGUCCAUUAUAAACAGGGGUUUCCCUGGUUCACCAUCUGUUGUCAUUUCUGUUUUAUGUCAUGGUCAGUGGUUGUCGGGGACCUAGACCAUUACAUAAUCUGCCUCGUGUUGUUUUCUUGGGUCCCGAACCAAGAGGACGGCACAGGCACAGUUAUCAUGUAUAUCGCUAUGUUAGAUACAUGUACAUAUAGGUAUGCUUACUUACGUUAGGUGUUAGGUAAGUUUUGCCCAUAUUUCUGAGUGAAGGUCUUUUUUUGUUUGUUAAGUGGCUUGGACAUGUAGUGUAGUGUAGUUUAGACGCUUUUUGUAAGCAGCCUCUGUUUUUUGUGUACUUGUUAGAUGCCAUUUUAGUACAGGGGUGGCUGACGCUGGUUUCUUUUUUGUGUGCAUUUCACUUUUUUCAUUCUUGUAGAAAAGUGGUCUUCAUGUUAGAAUUCAGUAAAUGUCAACAUUGUCAG